CUAUGCGCCUUGCCAGCCGCUCAGGUGUGCCAGCCGCGCGGUAAUACGGAGGAUGCGGGCGUUAUCCGGAUUUAUGGGUUUAAAGGGUGCGUAGGCGGUCCGUUAAGUCAGCGGUAAAAUUGCGGGGCUCAACCCCGUCGAGCCGUUGAAACUGUCAGACUUGAGUUGGCGAGAAGUACGCGGAAUGCGCGGUGUAGCGGUGAAAUGCAUAGAUAUCGCGCAGAACUCCGAUUGCGAAGGCAGCGUACCGGCGCCACACUGACGCUGAGGCACGAAAGCGUGGGGAUCGAACAGG
RNAcentral lists this ribosomal RNA (295 nucleotides) under uncultured bacterium. Its description in RNAcentral is "partial 16S ribosomal RNA". It matches the Rfam family "Bacterial small subunit ribosomal RNA", at positions 475 to 776 of the family's 1533-position model. The record is from RNAcentral.